GAAAUACUCAAGUUAAUAAAGAUUAAAAAGAAAAAAAGUAGAAUGAGAACAAUAGCAGGAGAAAUGCUUGGCCCCAACAUCUGCAAAGCCUCAGUGCAGUCAAAUGGUGGCUGAGGCGAAUGAUUUCUCUUAGAAGAGACUCUUUGCUCUACUCCAGCAUCUACAGUUUGAUUCUAUUUUUAUCCCGUAUUCCAGCCUGCCAGUAUGAACAGAGCCGGGAACGCCAUUCCUUGUCUCUCAGAGCUGCAAUAUUGGAAGAGAGGGUAGGGGAAGGGCCGAGAGUACUCUGCUCAGCCACAAAAUGCCCGUCUGGUGUUCAGUGUGGGUCUCCAUGGGUCACGAAGGCUGCACACUCAACUGGGCAGCAGCGUAACGGGUAACUAUGUAAGACGUGGUGCCAGAAACAGGGCAGACGGGCAGCCUCUGGGGUUGCACAACUUAGCAUCUGUGGAGGGAGACAGUUGGCUGUGAUAAGGAAGUCAUCCAAGAGAGGUUCUCAGAAUGGCUGCAACUGGGGUUCUGGGAGGGAGAGCAGCUGCAACUGGGGUUCUGGGAGGGAAGGGCUCAUGCUGUAGGAGGCAGGAGGAGCUGGAUGGAGCCCUAGGCAGGAAGUGGUUCUGAAGAUGAGAAAUGAGCUGGCAGAAAGAAAGACGACUGCCACUGAGAUGGAGAUGCUCGCUGGCGUGCUGGAAAGAGGUUUUAGCUCCAUAGGGCAGGGCUGUGUGGUGGGCUCUGACUGAGAGAAACCUUUAGCAGUUCCUGGUUGGGGACCUGCAAGAUUGGUAAGAGCCAAGCCUGGAAGACUAAGGCACUGCCUUUUGUCUUAGUUUGCUAGGGUCCAGGCUAGAUUUGGGGUUUUUUAUCUCUUCCUAUGAACAGAAGGGAGAAAUCAGCACAGGAAACAAAAUCAAUUUAAAUAUAUUUAUGGGGCAGAUCUGUCCCCGGUUUGCUGAUCCUACAGAUUUCCUAAGAGGAGGCUCCAGCCAGCGUUUGCUCAACAUCCAUUUACUGUUGACCAAACACAGAGGCUGUCUGUGCUGACUCAUGUUCCAAUUAACAGGAAGCCAGGCAUCCCCUGAAACAUCUGCAGAAAUGGAGCUUCUGAGGAGCGAUGGCAAGGAGCCAGUAGCUGGGCUCCCCUUCCCAUAGCCUGCUCCUGGUUCCAGACACUGCCCUCAACUGCAAUGGAAAGGAGGGUUCCACAGACACUGCUGAUCUCUAGUUUCCCGGCAGAUCCCUGGCCUGGCCUGUAUCUCAGAGAAUAGAGGCUUCUUCAGAGAGCAGCUGUACAGCCUUUCCCUCCCCAGGAGGCUCAAUAGCCAGUUCCUCUUCUUCCUCACACAGGCUCAAACCUUGUCACGACUGGUUCUAAGUAAUUAUUCAUCUUCCAGGGGCUUGUGGGUAAGAUGACAGCCACCAUGGCUUCCUUUCCUAAGAUGUGGGGAUGGCCGCUCUAUUCCCAGACUACGUACAUGGCUGUCUUAGAGCAAACAUUGAGGCCUUCAAUGCAGCCUGUUUCUCCUUCUCAUGUGCCAAGCUGUGCCUUGCAUGAGGUUCAUUCAUUUUACCAGGCACUGUCUCAGGACCACAGGCUCUGCAGUCUCAAACCUGCACUUCAGGGACAGCCACAUUUCGGCUUCUAGGUUACCUUCUAAAAGGAGCCUGGUCACUGCUGUCCCCUUCGGUAUUCACCUGAGGCACAUGCUACUUCUUUAUACCAACUUUUCAUAUAUUAUUUACUUUUUGUGGGCAUCUCCCACAGACUUUCUGAUUUAUUGGGGCAGGGUCACUUCCUGCCUCCCUGAUAACUGAAUGGUGUCUACAACAAGAACAACAAGAGGCUUCCAAUCAACACUCUCUUUUUUCUUUUUGAUGGCGGGUAACGCUGGGGACAGAGCCCAGGGCCUCACAAAUGCAGGACAAGCAAUUGUGAGCCACCUCCCCAGCCUCCCAGUCAGUGAUCAUUUGAUCGGUAAAUCAGUAUUAACCCUUGCACUUUUGUUUGAGGCUCAUGAAUGCAGAAACCUCUGUGACCUGCUUGAGUCAUCGGAAUCUGCUUGGCAAUCUUAGUUUAGAUAAUUAAGUCCAGUUCUACUUUAUUACAAGAAGAUAACCAGUCACAGGGCGGCGUCAGGAAGGGGCAGGAGCGGGUGCCUCAAAUGGGGGGAAUGAUGGCUUUUGUUUCUGAUAUUGGAAGGGAAACGGAACCCACCUCUUAAAAGCAGCCAGCCAUCUCUGAGGCCAUAAUUAUCUCUGACUUGAGAAGGAUGAGCCCUACCAGGCUCGUCUCUUUCUCUGUCCAAGCAAACCAGUUAACAACCACCAUAAACAUGGGUUCCCAGUCCUGGGAGGAUCAAAACCCAUGUAACUCCCAGAUAAAAGCUCAUAAGAAUGCCACCAUUCAGUUAAAGUCUGGAGACCGAAGUCUGCAAUUACUUUUCUUCCUUCUGGGGGAUGCUGUCCUGCUAGAACUUGUAAUGCAUCCUUGGAGUUAUUUCAGUUGGGGGCGGGGAGUAGUUUCACAAACAUCCUGGCUCACAUUGAGCUUGAGUCGUUAAUGUUCAAACAUCCCGGGCAGAUUCACACAGGUAGAAAUGCCGACCGUUUGUGUAGGAGCUGACUAAUAAGGGACCCUGUCAUGAGACUCCUGGGGGCUUCCACAGAGAAAAGAACCUGGCCCUGUUCAGAAGCUGUCCUGGUGUGGGUCUGUGAUUAGGUCACCAUCUCUGGGGUCUCUAAACUCCUGUGUACAUGGCUUAGAAGAGCUCAACGACUCCUAAUGCACACAACAAAGUUGAUAGGGCAAUGGGGAUGCCGAUUACCCUGGUUUGCUCAGUGAAUGUCAUGCAAAUGUCUUGUGCUAUCACACGGGCUACAGCUGUUGCAAGCUGGGUUUGCCUGCUCUCCUGUGAUCUCAGAAGCUAAGCAGGGUUGGGCUUGGUUAGAAGUCAGAAAAUAGAGCUGGCCGUAUCAUAUCAGACCCUGGAAAUAUACAACGAUUACAUGCUAAUUUUAGGUAAGAUGAGAACAGGUGCUUCAGUGUGCCACCCACUGCCUGUAGGUGCCGUUAGAGCGCUUUCAUGCUUUUGCCAGUUUGUUCCAGGACAAGUCUUGGCUUAUCCUCCAUUACCUCCAAGCCACUCUCCGUCAGCACUGCCAUUGCCACCCCUGGAUAAACCCCACUGUUCUCCACCCACCUCCUUCAGGGUCUUUCAGCAAUCCUGUCAGCCCAGUUUCUCAGGAAGCGCCCCCUCCCUACACAGCUUCCACAGGAUCUAGGAGCAGUUCAAAUCCUGCUGGGAACAUUCUGAAGGAGGUGGCUGUCUCUCACGGGACUUGAGUUCUGGUUCUUAGGUUACCAAGAAUGCCACAUUGACCCCAGGAAGUGUUAUACAUGCACACAGAGUCGAGAGGACAGUUAGAGGAGAACCCACCAUGUGGGUUCUCUGGGGGCUGAACUAGGGUAGUCCUGCUCGGCAGUGCCCACCUUCACCCAUGGUUGGCCUGUCCAAACAUCCUUUAAUGUAGAAAGUUCCCCCUCCUGAACUAACAACUGGAUCUCCUAAUCUUCUGUUUUCCCAAUUCUUUCUACUUUUCAGUGAAGUAAGUGUAAGUACUUAAGACAGGCACUCCCAGCACGAAGUAAGCCUUGUUUUCAAAAUUCCGAAAACCUCUGCUUAUAACAUUCUAAGGUAUUCCAGGUGCUUGGGUUUCGGGAUCUACCUUGGCUGAUGACAGUGGAGCGUCUUAGAAAUGAUCUCGGGGCUGACUUGUCCGGCAAGUGUAACUCCUGCCUGAUUUUUUUUUUUUACUUUGUAAUUAUUUAACUUAUAACUUAUUAGUUAGGUGCUUUUUACAAAAAAAGGUGGUGUCUUGGCUUGUGGGUAGCUAUGUUUAGUCAUGGCUGGGUAGGCUGGGAGUCAGUCAAGUGCAGACUCUGAGAACAGAGGCUGCCUGGGAUUUGGCUUGCUACCAGGUAGGGGUUCUCUUUAACUUGUAGGAUAGAGUUGGCACGGGAGGAAGAAAAGAAACAUGAUUGAAAGGCUGAAGGCAGACUUAGGACAUAGUAGACGCAAAGAUAUGUGAAGGAAUGUUCUCUCAGGCAGAAAAACAGCGGAGUGUGGUGUGGGGGGUGUUCUGAGAGAGGGAGAGAGAGAGGUUGUUCUUAACUGCAGAUCAGCCUUUUGGAAGAAGCCUAUACUCACCGAGUGGAUGAUGCCCUGGAGAGCCUGGAAGCCGUCAUUCACAGGAAAGACGUGGUCCUUACUGUCUGCAAUCCGAGCCAACUGAGGACAGACACACAGACAGCAUUUCUUCUAGGUUCUGCCCCACAGUUACCUCGCAACAGCCAGGUAUGCUUGACUCACUAUAAAAGGGGCUGCUUGCCCCCUCCUCACCCUCUUACUUUCUCUCCCUUCUUGUCCCAUUCUCCUCCCACCUCUCUCUCCUUGUUUUCCUGGUUGGCCUCUUCUCUCUCUUUCCCUCUGGUUCCCCCUCCCCGCCCUGUCUCUGUCUCUGUCUCUACUCCCUCCUCAACUCCCCUUCUCAUGCCCUAAAUAAACUCUAAGGGAUGUCUCAACAUGGGCUCACAGAGGCACCCCAUAACCUCACCAUACCACGCCUCUACGAAACAUAUCCUCUUCCUUCCUUUCUUUCUUUCUUUCUCUCUCUCUCUCUCUCUCUCUCUCUCUCUCUCUCUCUCUCUCUUUCUUUCUUUCAUAUAAAACACAACACUUGGGAGCAGAGGUAAGACUGUCUAGUAGGAUGAACACACAACUUGGCGUGAUGCCAUUUGUAGAUUUGAGGGCCACUGACUUUUUCUCACUCAAAUAUCUGCGGGUUAAUUUAUCCGAGUCAAACAGACACCAGGCCUCUUAGAGCAACUUCAGAACCAAAUUGAGGCCCUUGUUGUUACACCAGGCUGAUGAGAGGGGUCCCCCACCUUUCACACCAACUGCCACCAGGGACAGGCCCAUUGCUUCAUUGGGUUCAUGAAGCAGGAGACGGAGGAUAAAGAACAGCUGACCAGGGGCUCCCAAUGUUCAUGGCUCUGGGACUGUAGAGGCCAUGUCAGUUUUACAUUUGUUUUUUUGUUGUUGUUACUGAUUGCAAAAGUAACACACCAUUUCUUAAAAAAAUUUUAGGGAACUACAAGAGUUAAAAUGAAGGAACAAACAAGGCCUGUUCAUAACUGACCUCUACUUAUGCAUUUGUAGUUAAGCCUUUCUGACAGUGGAUAUGUAUAGACGUGUUAAAUGCAGAUACAUGUUUGUUUUUCCUAAAAGUGGGCAGGAGUAUUCUCAUUGCUUUGUAAUCUAUGUUACUUCAUACCCACUGAGGAUGUGUGUCACUGUACGGGGCCACAGGGAAGAGCUCUUACUCAGGAUGUUAGCAGUUUCCGCUAUCUGGGCACACACCUCCAGCUAUUCUUACACAUUGGUGUUGAAAAUGCAUUCCAUUUUUAAUGAACAAAGGAAAUCUGUCACUUGAAAAAGCAAGUUGUACUUGCCAAAUUUUUAGAGAGUGUUCUAAGUUAAUUGAGAGCUGUGUUAACACCUUGGUGACUUAAUGUUACCUGGAAAGUUGAACAAGAGAAGUGUGCCCUGGCCUGGGUGGUCUGUGUUAAGACCCCAGAAACCUCAGAAGGUGCCUAAUUCUUCACACAGACAGAAGUGUCUUCUUGCCAGCUUCCUAGAAAAGCAUCCUACUUGAGGGCUGUGUAUUGUGCAGGUGCCCCGCUGUGCUGGCUGCUCUGUGUUCUCUCCCAAACAGCACAUCUCCAAACAGGAGACCCAGGCUCAUACCUGAGUUUCAUUGAAAUCCUUCACGCCAACGCAGUAGACGAUCGCGCCAAGGUCUCGGGAUCUGUUAGCCUGUGUCAAAGAGACAAUGGAUAUUAAAGGGAAUCAAAGAAGCAGGCCUUCUCUUGAUUUUAAGACUGCCAUCAACCAUGGGGUGUUUCCUGAGCACCUACUGUGUGGCAGGUGGCACAGGAAAGGAGUAAGGUAGAUCCCAAGGAGCCUGUAUUCCACUGUGUGGGUCAGAGGGCAGUGGUCACUUUAGGGCGUCCCCUGCCAAAGUUGACUUGAGGGACAGCGCUGGAAGAUGCGGGAGUGACUGGGGCAGAUAAAUCACAUCAUGCAUCCAGGCUGAAGUGGGUUUUAUUGGCAUACACUGUUUUUCCUGCUGGGGAUGGCCACACAGUAUUACAAACGAAUGUGGCUGUUGGCACCCGAUACCCCUGUUCGGAUGCUUGGCUUCACUCUGUAAAGUGCCUGGAGAAUUAACUGUGGUCAUCCGCACAGAGCUCACGGAUAUUGUGAUGCGUCUACAGUCAGCAUCGUCUGGGAACCAGGCCUUUCUCGCAGCCACGGAGUGAAGUGGUUUAACGGUUUUUACCAAGAGCGACUUGUUUUGCCUGAACACAGAGCGGGGUCGUGUUGGAGAAAGGCCCUGGUCUCCUCACCCUCGUCCAGCUCUGAGCUGCAUGCUGGGUCCCCUUUCCUCACUGAGACCCAGUGGCUGCUACUCACCUCCCUCUCCGAAUAGAAGAAGAGGUCCUCGUGCAGCUCCCCAUCCGUCAGAGCAAUGAUGACACUUGCUGUCCUGUAUCCUGCUCGAAACAGCAAAGGCCCUGUAACUCAUGCUGAACUGCCAGGAACACCCACCCUGCUCACUCCUGAGAUUUUGUCUCUUUCUGAACCCAGUCACUGAAAAUGAAUAUGGUGACAGUCAGUCUUGUUUUGGGGUAUGAAAACAACUCCAGCAUGAAGAAAACUCAGACAUCUGGGUUUCCCAGCCUCAUCUCGACAGGUAGGCCAGCUGAGAAGAUGGCUGCCGAACCAGCCUGUCCUUGCAGCCAGCUCCAGUGAGGGUCAGCAGGCCUGGGGCACAUUCCACACUUGGUCUGUACUGGACCUCCUCGAAUGCCAGAGCUGACCACAUGUACCACAUUUGGACGACAGUAUGCCAAGACAUAAUAUUUAUCAGAAUCUGCAAGCUGACCAGAAGUAAUACAGCUGUCGGAAAAACCUACUGGAAUGCUCCCGAUAUUAUUUAGACUUCCAGUAACAGUACUUAAAAUUGAUUUCGCUCAGCAAGUCUGGGGCCUGUCCUAUUUGUUGCAGUUUAACUACAAUCAAGCAGGAAGUGGUAUUAGGAGGAAAGUCCCCACAGUUAUAUGGAAUCUCACCGAAGAGACUAGGGUGACAGAUUGGACUGUUCUCCAUGAGGGAGACUAAUAAAAGUCAAAAUGAUGACAA
Molecule: non-coding RNA, 7262 nt
Organism: Rattus norvegicus (Norway rat)
Lineage: Eukaryota; Metazoa; Chordata; Mammalia; Rodentia; Muridae
Source: RefSeq, a predicted model, not a curated record